UAAUCUUAGCGGCGGACGGGUGAGUAACGCGUGGGCAACCUGCCUCACACUGGGGGAUAACACAGGGAAACUUGUGCUAAUACCGCAUAACAUCAUGAAAGGACAUCCUUUUAUGAUCAAAGGAGCAAUCCGGUGAGAGAUGGGCCCGCGUCCAAUUAGCUAGUUGGUGAUGUAACGGACCACCAAGGCGACGAUUGGUAGCCGAACUGAGAGGUUGAUCGGCCACAUUGGGACUGAGAUACGGCCCAGACUCCUACGGGAGGCAGCAGUGGGGAAUAUUGCGCAAUGGGGGAAACCCUGACGCAGCAACGCCGCGUGAAGGAUGAAGGUUUUCGGAUCGUAAACUUCUUUGAUGGGGGACGAAACAAAUGACGGUACCCCAAAAACAAGCCACGGCUAACUACGUGCCAGCAGCCGCGGUAAUACGUAGGUGGCGAGCGUUGUCCGGAAUUACUGGGUGUAAAGGGCGUGUAGGCGGGAAUGCAAGUCAGAUGUG
This 496-nucleotide ribosomal RNA is filed under the name uncultured bacterium. RNAcentral's name for it is "bacterial SSU rRNA". It matches the Rfam family "Bacterial small subunit ribosomal RNA", at positions 87 to 596 of the family's 1533-position model. The record is from RNAcentral.